GGGCAAGCAGACCCCGGGGUGAGGGCAGCUGCUGCCAAGCAUCCCCUGGCCCCGGGGUGGGCACUGCCGGCGCCCAGGGCUUUGGGAGGUGAAGGGGUGGCUAGCAGGGUGCUGGAAGUGCAAGGGUCCCAGUGGAGCAGGGGGCUGUGCACAGCUCCUGCUGGGAAAGAAGAGCCUGGGAAACUGAAGAUGUGUGUGUGGGGAAGCUUGUAACCCUGGUCACCCCCUUCUCCCACUUCAAAUGAGGAUGGAGAAAAACUUGCAAGUGGAGGAGAGCAGCUCUUUCUAGCAGCCUGCAACCGUUUUUGAAAAUACAUCUGGUGAGCAAGUGAGACAAGAUUUCUUCUGUGACAAGUGUCUCCCUCUGGAAUAGUUUCAUCAGACUCAGCUGUGUGCUGAAGAGUUUAACAAAGAGUGGACGUGUCGGUGUUUUGAGGAUACAGUGGGAGUCCGUGGAGCUGACUUCAGAGCUGAAUGAGCUGAAAGGAGGUCUUGGCCAUAACUCUGGAGCAGGCGCAGGAUCCACUGGCUGAUCUGAGAUGUUCUUCAGUGCAGCGUGAAUACUUUUGUGCUGUGAACUCAGCGUGGGUCUGACGAGUGCUGUAGCCAAAACCAGCUAAUCAGAGGAGCACCAAUAGAGCCAAUUACCACUCAGGCUGCGCUUUCAGCCACUCAUGCAUGUGCCACAGUUAUUCACUCACUUCCUCCGCUUAGAUAGACUUGUAGACUUUGAGACAGGCUUGUGGUUUUCCCAGGCAGGAGCUCUUCCUUUUCUUCUGCACAUCUUUACAGAUAUUUGAACCAAAGGUUUGUCCAGCCUGUGUCAUUUUCUUUGCUGUUUCUGUGGCGAUGCGGGUGAUUUAAGCCUUUUAAUAAAACAUAGUUCUGU
Molecule: long non-coding RNA, 889 nt
Organism: Gymnogyps californianus (California condor)
Lineage: Eukaryota; Metazoa; Chordata; Aves; Accipitriformes; Cathartidae
Exons: 4
Source: RefSeq, a predicted model, not a curated record